GUCAAUUUAUCAAUAACGGAUUUUUGACAUUUCAGCAGUUAGAAAUUAAAUGCAAAUAAGCCGCACAACCAAAAGUAUAAUUAAACAUAGAAAGUGGUUAGACGUAUUAAUCUCACGCAUGGUACGUGUAUACUUGGUAAUCUUCGACGGACCCUGCGGUAUAAUUGUAUUCAACUCGCGCGGUGGCAUAUUUUGACUACGAUGCCGUCUGAUUGUUGGGAGACGUGUUACGAAGGAGGCAUUGUGCUUAAAGCUAGAUGAAGCUCGUCUAAAUUGAUAGAAAAACAUACAUACAUACAUACAUAAUACAUACAAGGAUAAUAUAAAGUAGAUAGAAUUAAAGAUGGAACGAACUAAAUACAAAUACGUUUACAUAUAUAUAUAUGUGAGUGUUAGUAACAUUGACACUGUUUCAAAGACUAGACUAGUGAUUAUAAAAAAAUUUAUAUAGCUACAAUCAGCUACGUUUUUGAGGUUAUGUACUUCUGCAUUCUUAUGUGGGGUGUUUCGUUUGUUAAAGGAACGACAUUAGCCGCACACACUUACACAUGUAUUUCUAUGUAAUUUGAUUUUUUUAAUAUAUUAUAUUCUCUAUAAAACUAGCUACACAUGAGAUCUAUUGCGGUAUAGCGCGUGUUCAUUUACAUAUGUAUGUGUGUAUUUAUAAAUGGGUACAAAUGGGAUCUUCACCAAUUUAUUUUGUAAAAAAAUACUGUUCUAUGGCACUUAUGUGUGUAUGUACGAGUAUGUGUUGUU
Molecule: long non-coding RNA, 756 nt
Organism: Ceratitis capitata (Mediterranean fruit fly)
Lineage: Eukaryota; Metazoa; Arthropoda; Insecta; Diptera; Tephritidae
Exons: 3
Source: RefSeq, a predicted model, not a curated record